GUUGUUCUGUCUCAACCUUAAUCUCUAUAACUUGUCAUCAUUCCAUUCCUUUCAACCUAUUCUUCCUGGAUAUAACUCAGCAUCUCAACGGGUGAUGUUUCUCGAUUACAUUAACCUAUUAACGAUAAUCAUCAUUGAUCUUUAGUUAAAAACAGGCUCUUGCAGAAAAAGGAAAAGCGACACUAAAGGUAAAUAAGGAAUAAUUGUAGUAAACUAGUUUUUAGUGAACAGAGUCUGAGUAUUGCAUAUAACUUCAAUAGGAUAAGUAGACUGACAAAUCAAGUACUGGUCUUCGGAAGGG
Molecule: long non-coding RNA, 301 nt
Filed under: Mytilus galloprovincialis (Mediterranean mussel)
Lineage: Eukaryota; Metazoa; Mollusca; Bivalvia; Mytilida; Mytilidae
Source: RNAcentral